CCCCUUGUGCAAAGAUUAUAAAAUUCCAUGAGUCCAUGCUCUAAUGAAAUGGGUUGAAGGGAUGCAGCUUUCAUUGAUCACAUGAUCCAGGCCACAAUUUGGUGAAAGUCUGACUUUGCCUAUAAUUUGCGACCAUUUCCAACAUGGAAGCCUUUGCUGCAGACUCUAACAUGAGUACAGACUCCUCCGUAUCCCUGGAGAGGAACCCUUGCCGAGGUCCAUCAAACGGAUCAGUUGUGAACUCGGGAUUUAUAAAGAGGUCUUUCUCCUCACAUUCUAACAAUACUGCUGUUGUGGUCCAUGACUGCUUAUUCAUCAGAGUUAUUUAGCAGCUGGCCUUCAUAUUUGAAGGUUGUUCCCCUAUCUACCACCUGGGGAGUACGCGCCCUGUAGCAGUCAGCUCUACCAAGAGAACUCACAUAUGCAAAUUAUAGGUAAUUAUAUGGACCUCAGCAAGGGUCCCACUCCAGGGAUACAGAGGAGCUGCGUCUGUACUCAUGUUAGAGUCAGCAGCAAAGGCUUCCAUGUUAGGAACGGCCUCAAAUUACAGGCAAAGUCAGACUUUCACCAAAGUAUGCCUGGAUCAUAAGGCCAUGAUCACGAAAGCUGCACCCCUACACCCCAUUCCAUGAGAUCAGAUAGGUAACAUGGGAUAAAAGGACCACAUAUAAAAUAGAUUAACUGCUUGCAACAUUUUCUUUAAAAAAUUUUUUUUUUUGAAAGAGUGAAAAAGUUUAAAAGAUAAGUUUCUUUUUUUAUUUAGUUCUAAAGCUUUCGGGCAUGAAAGCCUCUCUACAGGAGAAAACCUGAUACAAUAAAUCACUAAUAAGAAACGAGUUAUAAUCAGAUACCAUUUUACAUAAUUUCUUAAAUAGGUGGAAGAAAAAUUAAUUUUCAUAUAUAAUUUUUUAUAUACACCCAUACCUCGCUUUGCGUCAGGGUUACGUUCCAAAAAAAACACGACGCAAAUUGAAACGACGCAAAGUGAAAAUAUGUGAAGGCGCAAUCAAAAACAAAGAUGUUGCCAUAUUUUAGGAAAAAAAAAAAUUAAAGACUUGAAUCCAAAACAACGCAACUUCGAAAAUCUAACGACACACAGUGAAAAUCAGUAAAAAUUAAGCAGCGACGCAACUUAAAAAAAAAAACGCAAAACGAAACGACGCAAAGCGAGGUAUUGGUGUAUAUAUACAGUAGAACCUCCCUGUAUAAAGAGGACACCUAAUUGCAGAGCUAAAGUAUUCAGGGAGAGGGGUCCUCUUACUGGAAAGUUCUCCUCUUACCAAAGAGUGUCAAAAUAGUAAAAAUGGUAAUAUAGAAAAUGAAAACUGUCCUUGAAAUAGAUGUGCCCUCUAGUGGGAGUGUCCUCUCAUGGAGGUUCUACCGUAUAUACAAAGUGCGGCAAAAAAAUACUAUUAUCUACAGUAGAACCUCCAUGAGAAGAAACUCGCGCUAGAGGACACCUCUCUACAAAGAACAGUUUUCAUCAUCAAAAUUACCAUGUUUACUAUUUAUCAACUCUUUGGUAAGAAAACACACCUCUCUACAAAGAACACUGCAAAUACACUCAUGGACAAAACUUAAGGAAGUUGUACCUUUUAUCAUGUAUAUCGGAAUUCAGACAAUAACUCUGAAAAAUAUUACAGUAACCUUUAUUGAAGACACACGAGAUAACCAAUAUACACUCAUGGACAAAACUUAAGGAAGUUGUACCUUUUAGCAUGUAUAUCGGGAUUGAGACAAUAACUCUGAAAGAUAUUACAGUGACCUUUAUUAAAGACACACGAGAUAACCAAUAUACACUCAUGGACAAAACUUAAGGAAGUUGUACUUUUCAGCAUGUAUAUCGGGAUUGAGACAAUAACUCUAAAAGAUAUAACAGUGACCUUUAUUGAAGACACACAAGAUAACCAAUAUACACUCAUGGACAAAACUUAAGGAAGUUGUACCUUUUCAGCAUGUAUAUCGGGAUUGAGACAAUAACUCUGCAAGAUAUUACAGUGACCUUUAUUGAAGACACACGAGAUAACCAAUAUACACUCAUGGAUAAAACUUAAUGAAGUUGUACCUUUUCAGCAUGUAUAUCUGGAUAUUGAGACAAUAACUGAAAGAUAUUAGCAGAUACCCGAGAUGACUAAGUGUGAACAAAAUUGCCUCUGUCUCCUUUAGAAAAAAAAAAAAAAGACAAUAAUAGGAUGACUGCCGACAUCAAAGACUUGCCAUUUCCUUUUGUCCAUGAGUGUAGGUGUAGGCCUUUACAGAGAGGUUGGUAUACUGUAUAAAAAUCCUGUUGCCCUUGCCUGGGUGUUCAAUAAAGAAUGGACACCAGGUAGCAAACUUACUGUGCCUCCAUAUUGAAGUUUGGGCGGUUGGAGAAUCCUGCCGUGGACCUCCAUCAGGGAGUUACUGAUGUUGAGACCAAACUCCCUCACGUAGGGAUCACUGUUGAAAUUGGCUCGUUGGGCCUGCACUUAACACAGUUGGACUCAACAACAACAAAAGGUCACAACAUUAACUUAGGUUAGCUGAAGAAGGGCUUGCUCGAAAGCUUCCUUUAACCCUUUAAGCUCUAGGGCCCGAAUGCUAACUAUCACUAUCAGGACCACACUAAUUAAGCCUAAACUGAUGAUCAAGUAGUUGUUAAGUUAAAAAUGUUAUAAAUAAAUAAAUAUGAUAUAUAGAAGUGUUCUGUAAAGUGCAAUAUAAUCCAGACUCCUCUCUCAACACAACACUCUGAUUUUAUUAUACUGAAAUGAGUAUUUAAUUUUUUAAUUGGGGGUUAAUUAUAAUUAAUUGAAUAAUCGACUUGAAUUUUUCAAAAUAAGGUUUCACAAAUAUAAAAAGGAAUUUUAGAUAUAUACAAGGCUAUUUACAAAGCUAACACUUGUGUUUAAAAGCACAGACUGGAUGCAAGCCUCUCUUGCACUUUGAACAUAUGGUUCUAGACCUCCGCUUCAGGCCUUCUUUUGUACACUCCACACAUCUACUCUCUCUCUUUUCUGGAAGUUUUUCGAGUACUUCCUGGCUUGUUGAAGUAGAACUGGAGGUUUCAAGUGAUUUUUAACUAAUCCAUUUAUUACUGAAUAGUUAAAAGCCCUUCUAGAAAGCUUGGGGUUGUCUUUGGUAUGCUGUUCAUAUAGGAUGAAGGAGUUUAGGAGAGCCCUGUGGAAGAUGUUGAGGAUCACCUUUCUAUAAAAUUUUCUUCCUUUUCUUUCAUCCAUAUAUGUAUACAACAUUUGAUCAUUGAGAUCUACCCCUCCCAUGUAGCUAUCAUAGCAGAUUUUCAUCUGUGGGUAGUCUCUUUGGUCUGACACCUUCUUUUUGCCAGAAGAAGCAUCACAAAAUGUUGAGAGAAACUUCACUGGAGGUUUGCUCUUCUUUUCUUUGUAAGCCAGGGCCAGUAGAUUAUUAUUUACCAUAUAAAGGGAUUCAUCCACACCUAAUUUUGCACUUGUUAAGGUUUUAGGAAGUCCCUUCCUAUUAGUUCUUAUAGUACCAGUCAAAUAAGUAUGACUGUCCAGUAAGUCCUUGGCUAGGUUGAUGCUGGUGAAAAAGUUGUCAGUUAUCAAAUGAUAACCUUUUCCAAGUAGACUGGAUUCCUGGAGCAGAUUCAUUGGAACAUCAUAGGAAAGGGACUUGAUAAUUGGAGAUAAUUUCCCUUUAUAUGGCUUCAUUCUCAGACAAUAGCCAGUUUUAGAUUCACAAAGCAUCCACAGUUUGACUCCAAAUCGACCAUGGUGCUUUUGGGGCAUAUAUUGUCUAAGACGAGUUCGUUUUUUUAGGCACACCAAGCUCUCAUCAACUGUAAGAUUUUGAGUAGGCUUAUAAUAAUAUAAAAACUUGUUGUUCACAUGCUCUAUGAGCUUCUCAAAUCUUGCAGUUGGGUUGUAAUCAGGAUGAGAACUUGGAACCAGGUUGAAGUCAUCAAUCAGAGAAAAGCAGCUGUAGAGCAACUCAAAUCUCCCUCUAGACAUAACUUUACCAAACCAGGGCGUCUCUAAAAGUUCAUUCUUGCUCCAAUAGUCCCUGAUUUGGUUCUUCUUCACAUUGCCCAUAUUGAAGAUGACUCCAAUAAAGGCCAUCAUCUCAUCCAAGGUAGUGUCCUUCCAGGCCAGCUUCCUAGAAAAUGGAGGCAAUUUGUCCCUAUUGCUUGCCAAUAAAGUUUGGGCACAUUUAUUGGUAAAAGCCACAAUUUCCUUCAUCAAAUUCAUUGUUAUGAAUAACAAAAAGUAUUCAAUAGGCCGGAUAAUAGAGGGGAGAAGGUGCUGUGGGCCACAAACUUCUCCAAAAGUCAAUGUUUUGGAUGUGGAAAAUGGAGUAUAAACUCUUACCCAAGGACUUGGCUGGUUUUCAUCCACUUCUUCAUCAGAAAAUUCAUCUUCAAAAGUGUCUUCAACAAUUUCUUCAAACUCAGAAGACAAAGAAUAAACUUCAGUGUCCUCAGAAAAUGCAGAGCAUUCUGAACCGGAAGCCAUUUUUAAAAAAUUAAAAAUAAAAAAAGGAAAUCGCAAGACAAAGGAGAUAAAAACACAGCUAACGUGUAGAGACAAGCCCAGAAGUGAGAAGGGAGGUGAUAAAAAUAGCCAGCCAAAAAAAAACUAGGGCGAGAUAAAAGAACUUAUGUACACAUUAGCACACCUACGCGUUAGUGAUUAUAUCAAUUCUUUUUAUGCGCAUGCGAGCCAAGGUGGCCAUCAUGUGAUUUCUCCCGCUGGCGAAGGUCACGUGAUUUCCUCUGGCCAACAAAGAUUUAGAAUAAGCCAUUCUGGCUUGCAUUAGAUACACUAAACAGGACCUUUGGGAGAGGCCGCUGCUUAUCAUCAAACAUCUAAAGAAGCAUGAACUCAUUGAAUUUUUGUAAUUUUUGCUCAAGGGGAUAAGAAACAACAACAACAGAACAGGCUAUUUCAAGCAAAUUGAUGAUGGAAAAAAAUCUUCCUCACUCUAAAUAGGACAUGUUUUUUUUUUCUUUUGCUUAUCUCUAGUACAUGUGGUACAGGCCAUGAUAAUCAUUGUGGGUAGAAGUAAGAGACUGUUUUUGCUGUAAGUGCACCACAUGUUUACACUUGUAAAAAGCAGUUCAACUUUGCACUUAUAAAUGUGCCAGAGCCCUGUUUGGUUACUUGCUCUUGCUGGUAGGGUUAGACUUUUACAAGAAUCGGAGGCCAAAUUGGAGCAUUUUUUAAUUAGAAAAAAGUACCUAAGGCAGGAUUCGAUCCUGGGUCUUAGUGAUCGAAAACCAAUGGUUUAGACCACCCUUCUACUGACCAUCCUAUUUAUUUAUUUAUUUUUUGUAACACUAACAAGAUUUAGAACAGGCCAUUUCAAGCCAUUGAAGAUAGAAAAUAACAACAAAAUCUACCCCAACUGCCCAAAGCUGCAGCUCCAGAACCCAUUUUUGGCUUGCGUUAGAUGCACUAAACAGGAUCUUUGGGAGAGGCCGCUGCUUAUAAUCAAAGAGCUCAAGGAAUAUGGAAUUAUAGAAUUUGUGUAAUCUUUUGCACAGGGAGAUAAGAAACAACACAGAAAAUAAAACCAAAUCCAUAUUUUUGAAAUGUUUGUGACAUUUUGGUUACAGCGUUGUUAGCAUCUCAUCAGACAAAUUGUCUGAUGAUGGUAACAACACUUUUACCAAAACAUCACAAACAUUUCAAUAAUAUCGAUUUGGUAUCUUAUUACCUUGUAAUUGUACAAGAUACUUAGCCCUGAAUGCUUUAUUGUAAUUUUAUUAAAUAUAAUUCACAGAGGGCGAAUGAUUAUUUUUUAAAAAAAGUACAUUUCAUUUUAUAAUAAAAAAUGAUAAAAUAUCAAAAGAAUCCUCUUUUUCCAUAGAGUCUCCAAUGAGGAUGUAAAGUGAAAUUGGUCAGAAGAGAAUGAAACGGCAUUCCAAAAAGGUUGAGCUUGACAUUGGAAAAUGGUGUUGUUUUUGAAUAUUAGUUCUUUGUUGAAGCACCAUUUGCAUAGUUACAAGUUGACUUAUUGGUGCUAUGAAUAGAACGUGUAGUCAGUCCAGAGAUAGGUAGUCUUGUUAAUUUAGACGCCAUGUUUUUUUUUUUCUCAUCCCUAGUACACGUGGUACAGACCAUGAUAAUCAUGGUGGGCAAAAGUAGGUGACUGCUUUAACUGUAAGUACACCACAUGUCUACACAUGUGAAAAGUAGUUCGACUUUAGCACUUAUAAAUGUGUCAGAGCACCGUUUGGUUACUUGAAAUCGGUGGUGGGGUUGGACUUUUGCAAGAAUCAGGGGCCAUUGGAGUAUUUUUUUUUUUUUAUCAGAAAAAAAAGUGCCCAAUGCGGGAAUCAAACCCGAGCCGUAGCGGUCGAAAACCAACAGACGGCAUGUUUUCUAUUGUAGUGUUAACUUGGCAAUAAAGGAUAAUUUUGCUUAUGCCUAAGAGUUAUUUGGUGGUUAAAAUGAAGCAGCGUGAUACAAAAUGAAAUGGCAGGUACAUAGUCUUCUUCUUCUUUCUUAUCUCCACUCAAACAUAUCAGGGUAUCAAGUUGUGACCCUUGAUGGUGUCUGUUUGACAACCAUCAUGACUGGGUGAAGUAGAAUGCCUUUGUCAUUAAGACUGGGAGCACUACUCAGUGGCAGGCCACUGACUUAGCUCCAAAAGAAAUGACCACCUCUGACAUGAGGAACAGACGGCAAGUACAUAGUAAUACAUGGCAGUAGAAGAAAGAGUAUCAGCCACCUACCAAACUGGUUAUUUCCAUCUUCCUAUCUGGGGCAGAUUUGGCUGCAGCCUGAAAAACACAAGAGACAUAUAAGCUAUAUAUAUAGGAAAUGAAAGCAUUUAAGCACAAAUAUUUCUUUUGCACAUAAAACAAAAUUUCUCUCCUUAAUGGUAAGUUACAUUUUGAAUUAUAUAUAUGUGGCAAUAUAGUGAUAAUAAUGUGGUGAGGAGAGAAAUAAUCACACAACGAGUUGGUAGAGGAAAUAACCCAGGCAGCCAGCGAGAGAGACGGGGCGCGAGGAGCUUCCCGCUGAACGACCGUUUGUUGUGGCCACCACCCCCCGACUAUCUAAAAAUAGUCCUGCAGGGUUCCAAGAAAAGCCCUGCGGUCGCCCCUUGGAAUGUGGCCAGUGGCCCAGAUGACCGUACUUUAGCUGCGUUCUAUCGACGUCUCUCUCUCGUUGACUGUAGGUUUACUUUAUUAUUCCUGGAAGAGCAUAUAUUAUGACAUAUAUAUUUUUUUUGGCUUAUCCCUAGUACAAGUGGUACAGGCCAUGAUAAUCAUGGUGGGUAGAAGUUGGCGACUGCUUUUACUGUAAGUGCACCAUAUGUCUACACAUGUGAAAAGCAGGAAUUAUAGAUUAUAAACACAAGGUAAUAAGACCAAAAUCCAAAUAAAUAAAUACACCUAUCCCCCGAUUUACACGGUACUUUUUUUACACGUUUUCGCUUUUACAUGGUUUUCCAAAUAAGUUUUUUUUUUUUUUUUUAUCGCACUAUACUAAAUGCUACUGUGAUUGAACACAUGCGCUGUGUACACAUCUCACGAGGAAUCCCAAGCUUAUGUGCUGACUACAUAUUUUAACCUGCCAAUGCAUUUUAUUUUUAUUUCUGUGUACACCUAUCCCCCGAUUUACACGUUUUUCUCAGGAACGUAUCUACCGUGUAAAUCGGGGGAUAGGUGUAGUGUGUGAUAUUUC
RNAcentral lists this non-coding RNA (7655 nucleotides) under Cordylochernes scorpioides. The record is from RNAcentral. Lineage: Eukaryota; Metazoa; Arthropoda; Arachnida; Pseudoscorpiones; Chernetidae.